This is a long non-coding RNA of Hordeum vulgare subsp. vulgare (domesticated barley), 780 nucleotides long. RefSeq lists it as uncharacterized. The record is from RefSeq and is a predicted model, not a curated record. The transcript is spliced from 2 exons. Lineage: Eukaryota; Viridiplantae; Streptophyta; Magnoliopsida; Poales; Poaceae.
UCCCAUGUCUCCCUCCGAUGCGCGGUUCAUCUCCAUCAAGCGAUAGAGAGAAGGGGGAGGGCUCUGGUCUCUGUGAGAGGAAAAGGAUUAGAGAGGAGGCCGGCGCGGACAGGGUCUGCGGGAGAGAUUGAGUAGGGGAGAGGGUGUCAGGCAGAGACGCGAGGGGGUGGCUCGAUCCAGCCGCCGCGGGCGCCUAAUCCCCCAUUGUGAAGAAUGCCCUCCCCUGUGUGGUUCCCUGUGCACAUUCCGCUGCGGGCGCCUAACCCUGACUGCCUCCGGUGCUGCCCGCAAAGCCUCUGGACCGUCCCCCACAGCCUUGCCUCGAACCAGCAUCUUCCGUGCCUCCCUGCCAUUUGGUAUACGCCACGGUCUGGAGGCCGCUAUCUCCGCUUGAGCUGAUUGGGAAGUAUUGGUCAAGGAUUUCUCCAAGAUAAGGAAGUUUAUAUUGAGAAGGAAUUGGGGUAUGUUUGAAAAGCUAACAUAAAAUAGCCUUGGAGUAUGUACCAGUGUAUUUUAUUGGAAUCUGGUUAGAUUUAAUAAGUAGUCUCCAAUUCAUGUAGAUGCAUAGUAGUAUCAAGGAUCAACAUCAAAUGUUCCGUGCUAUGUAAUUGUAGUCUAAAGUGAGAUGCUGUACAAUGGGGCAGCUCACAUUAUUUUCCAUUUCAUUGUUCUUUUCUAAGCUACCUCUGGAUUUUCAUUUGCUAUAUCUGAGUACUGAUAUGUUGUAGUUGUAACCUAAUUUUUCGUGUUCAUUGUCUAUGGCAUUUGUUUAGCAGGUCC